Molecule: ribosomal RNA, 484 nt
Filed under: uncultured bacterium
Lineage: Bacteria
Description: partial 16S ribosomal RNA
Rfam family: Bacterial small subunit ribosomal RNA
Source: RNAcentral
AUUGAACGCUGGCGGCAGGCCUAACACAUGCAAGUCGAGCGGAUGAAGGGAGCUUGCUCCUGGAUUCAGCGGCGGACGGGUGAGUAAUGCCUAGGAAUCUGCCUGGUAGUGGGGGAUAACGUCCGGAAACGGGCGCUAAUACCGCAUACGUCCUGAGGGAGAAAGUGGGGGAUCUUCGGACCUCACGCUAUCAGAUGAGCCUAGGUCGGAUUAGCUAGUUGGUGGGGUAACGGCCUACCAAGGCGACGAUCCGUAACUGGUCUGAGAGGAUGAUCAGUCACACUGGAACUGAGACACGGUCCAGACUCCUACGGGAGGCAGCAGUGGGGAAUAUUGGGCAAUGGGCGAAAGCCUGAUCCAGCCAUGCCGCGUGUGUGAAGAAGGUCUUCGGAUUGUAAAGCACUUUAAGUUGGGAGGAAGGGCAGUAAGUGAAUACCUUGCUGUUUUGACGGUACCAACAGAAUAAGCACCGGCUAACUUCGUG